This 252-nucleotide ribosomal RNA is filed under the name Phascolarctobacterium faecium. RNAcentral describes it as "partial 16S ribosomal RNA". It matches the Rfam family "Bacterial small subunit ribosomal RNA", at positions 524 to 776 of the family's 1533-position model. The record is from RNAcentral. Lineage: Bacteria; Bacillati; Bacillota; Negativicutes; Acidaminococcales; Acidaminococcaceae.
UACGUAGGUGGCGAGCGUUGUCCGGAAUUAUUGGGUGUAAAGAGCAUGUAGGCGGCUUAAUAAGUCGAGCGUGAAAAUGCGGGGCUCAACCCCGUAUGGCGCUGGAAACUGUUAGGCUUGAGUGCAGGAGAGGAAAGGGGAAUUCCCAGUGUAGCGGUGAAAUGCGUAGAUAUUGGGAGGAACACCAGUGGCGAAGGCGCCUUUCUGGACUGUGUCUGACGCUGAGAUGCGAAAGCCAGGGUAGCGAACGGG